This 72-nucleotide transfer RNA is filed under the name Pangasianodon hypophthalmus (striped catfish). It matches the Rfam family "tRNA". Rfam says of the family: Transfer RNA (tRNA) molecules are approximately 80 nucleotides in length. Their secondary structure includes four short double-helical elements and three loops (D, anti-codon, and T loops). Further hydrogen bonds mediate the characteristic L-shaped molecular structure. tRNAs have two regions of fundamental functional importance: the anti-codon, which is responsible for specific mRNA codon recognition, and the 3' end, to which the tRNAs corresponding amino acid is attached (by aminoacyl-tRNA synthetases). tRNAs cope with the degeneracy of the genetic code in two manners: having more than one tRNA (with a specific anti-codon) for a particular amino acid; and 'wobble' base-pairing, i.e. permitting non-standard base-pairing at the 3rd anti-codon position. Lineage: Eukaryota; Metazoa; Chordata; Actinopteri; Siluriformes; Pangasiidae. The record is from Rfam by way of RNAcentral.
UCCCUGGAGGACUAGUGGUUAGGCCACAGUGCUCUUACUGCUGAGGUCUGGGUUUGAUUCCCGGCCAGGGAA